Molecule: ribosomal RNA, 232 nt
Filed under: uncultured bacterium
Lineage: Bacteria
Description: partial 16S ribosomal RNA
Rfam family: Bacterial small subunit ribosomal RNA
Source: RNAcentral
UGGGCAACCUGCCCCUAGCUCUGGGAUAACUCCGGGAAACCGGGGCUAAUACCGGAUACUCCGGCUGGAUCGCAUGGUCCGGCCGGGAAAGGUCCGCCGGAGAGGGAUGGGCCCGCGGCCUAUCAGCUUGUUGGUGGGGUCAUGGCUCACCAAGGCGACGACGGGUAGCUGGUCUGAGAGGACGACCAGCCACACUGGAACUGAGAUACGGUCCAGACUCCUACGGGAGGCA